AUUUAUCAUGAAUAAUUGUAUGGCAUGUUUUCUCCUAUAUAUUACAAUAACAUUCGAUGUCUAGUAUGCUCAAGAUCAUCUGGUCUGUUUUGAGCCAAUAGCUGCUACAUUUGUUCAGUCUUAAACUCCUAAUGUUACUUUCCAUUCUAUUUCCUUAUGAUUUUUUUAUUGUCUGACUAUCGAGUAUGUAACAGUUUUGCUCUCUAAUUUGUUUGUCCAUACCCUUUGAUUUAAUCUCUUUCAUUAUUUUUUGAUUUAGGAAGAAUUGAACAAACAUCAUAUGUUAUCACUCAAUGUAAGAAAUUGAAUAAUAUUCUUCCAAAUGAAGUGGUACUAUUCCCUUCCAUAUUUUGUUGUUGUAUGCACAUCAACCUAUAAAUUAAAUAUUGGUCAACACCUAUUUGAGGUCUGAUUUUUUUAGUUUGCAAUCCAUCUUGAGUAGGAGCAAAAUUCAAGAUUCGGGAUCUACGAGAGAUGCAAGAGCUUUUGUUCUUAUCAAGGUAUUUUUACUUUUGCUUUCACCCUGGUCUCCAAACUUGUAUCAUUAAUAAUUAUCAAAUCUAGUUGCCUUGUGUAUAUUAAAACAUACCAUGCUGUGUUCAGUGUGCCCAACAUCCUCAGAUCAACAUUAUUGAGCCAGUAGCUGCUAUGUUGGUUUAAUCUGCAAACUACCCCUUUCUAUUUCUUUUGGGCCCUUUAUUGUCUCACCAUGCAGUACUAUAAAACUGUAUUAUUGUCUCACCAAUGAUCCUUUUGGUUUCAUGCUCUUCCAUUAUGUUAUGAUUUAGGGACCAAUGAUCCGUUGCAUGGAAAUUACACGGAAUAGGAUCAGCACAACAAGG
RNAcentral lists this long non-coding RNA (842 nucleotides) under Triticum aestivum (bread wheat). RNAcentral describes it as "long non-coding RNA (TAES_LNC002601)". The record is from RNAcentral. Lineage: Eukaryota; Viridiplantae; Streptophyta; Magnoliopsida; Poales; Poaceae.